Non-coding RNA from Sus scrofa (pig), 321 nucleotides. It matches the Rfam family "7SK RNA". Rfam says of the family: 7SK was discovered as an abundant small nuclear RNA in the mid-70s but a possible function has only recently been suggested. Lineage: Eukaryota; Metazoa; Chordata; Mammalia; Artiodactyla; Suidae. The record is from Rfam.
GGGUAUGAGAGUGAUCUGGUUGCAAAAUAUGUCACCCCAUUGAUCACCAGGGUUAAUUCAGCUGAUCUGGCUGGUUGGACUGGUGUCCCCUUCCUUCCUCACUGCUCCAUGCGCAUCCUUCCUCAAGCUGCAUGUUUGGUGAAAGAGAAUGACCUUCCCCAAUAUAAGAGGACUGCUCUUUAGUCAAGAGUAUAGGAGUAGCUGAGAUCCCCUGCUAGAACCUCCAAACAAGCUCUUAAAAUAAAAUAAAUAGUUUUGUACUUCAAAGGAUCUCAUCAAGAGAGUGAAAGGCAAUUCUUACAAGCUGAAAUGUUUGUGCCU